This is a long non-coding RNA of Centruroides sculpturatus (bark scorpion), 310 nucleotides long. RefSeq lists it as uncharacterized. NCBI's taxonomy places the organism in Eukaryota, Metazoa, Arthropoda, Arachnida, Scorpiones, Buthidae. The record is from RefSeq and is a predicted model, not a curated record. The transcript is spliced from 3 exons.
UUUAAAAAUCCUGUAAGCAAAACAUGCGGUGACACGUGGAUUUAAAUAUUGUUUCCACAGAAUUUUAUAGGAAAGGUGUAACAACAGAAAUAUGAAGUUCAAUGAUUGUAUACCAUUAAUUAUUUCAAUAUACAUGACAAAAUUUUCAUUAUCUGCACCUGUUGAUUCUAAGAAACAAAAUCCAUAUGAUAUAAUAGAUGAUUUUAAUCUUGAAUAUAAUAAUUAUAUGAAAGAAGUUGCUAAAAUUUUGGAAGGAGAUGAAGACUUCCUUAAAGAAAUUAAAAAUAUUGCACAUACAGAUGAUUUUGAG